Cynoglossus semilaevis (tongue sole) is the source of this 1558-nucleotide long non-coding RNA. RefSeq lists it as uncharacterized. The record is from RefSeq and is a predicted model, not a curated record. The transcript has 2 exons. NCBI's taxonomy places the organism in Eukaryota, Metazoa, Chordata, Actinopteri, Pleuronectiformes, Cynoglossidae.
ACAGAACCUGCGGACAAAAACGUCAGAAAUAAAAGUGUAGACCAGAUCACCCAUCACAUUAGACCACGUCUAAAAAACAGGCUCAGAGGCCCAGUGGCAGCAGGUCACCACGUCCAUCUACAACAUCUCACAUACAGCAGGUCUUCACAGUCUGGCCCACAUGAAACAUGACUAGCGGCCCACAGGCCACAUACAGUACAGCCCAGACUGUUGCAUUAAAGAAAAAUGGGUUGAAUGAGAAUUUCAACUUCUAAUCAAAACCCCAACAGGAUACUCGUCGUAGCCUAGCAACCUGUUUCGUUCCGUCAAGCUGAAGCUGAAGGGUCUGGAUUCAACUCUAGUCCAUAACCCGGGUUGGGCUGUGUCCCACGAAAAGGAAUGGACUGUGGGCUGCUGCCGUAUCAGAGACAUGACACAGAUCAUGUUCUCGUGUUCAUCCACAUUCACGUCCAAAGUGCGUUGAGCACAGGUGGAUUCUGGGUUGGCAGGUUUGUUUAUCCAGUCUUGUUGAAAGGCUAUUUAAAUAUGAGAGGAAAUAGUUUCUGGGACAUCGUUGUUCAAAUGUCAUUUUUAUGGUCAAAAUUGAAAUAUAUUCACGAGUCGUAUUUUUUCCUCCGGGUUAUUUUGCAGGUAUCGACAGGGUGGAGUUUAUUUACCCCGCAGUCUGACGGAUUCCAUCAGUUUUAUGAGGUUUAUUUUAUAGUCAAACGUCUGCGACUCAUUAUUUACGAGAUAAACUCGACUUUUAGUCAUAUUGUCUAACGCUCUCUGCCUUUUCCCCUCAUUUCUCACUCUAUCGGCCGUUUGGUCCGUUAGCUUCCAUGUCGACACCGGUUAACGACAAGCAGAACUUUUUUUUACGGCGUGUCGCCCGCUGCGGACCAGAGUUCCGACAGACAGACUGGACUGUAGGAACGUGGGUUUGUGCUCCGUUGAAUAACAGCAUGAUUUAUGACGAAAGCAGAGACGGACUGAAGAUCCUACUAACAGCCAAACCAGAAAACAUUUUUCUUCACAGAGCGCUCAGACGUGGAAUUUUAGGAAUUGUGACAGAGCUGGAUUUGACGAGAGGCUCGAUCCAAAGAACCUGAUGACGUCACGUCGUUACUCUGAUGAUUGAUAUUAAUCAACAGAUGGGGGAAAUGUAAAGCUAUGCAGAAACUUUUGCAGGUCCUGCCUUCAUACCCCAGAUUGGACAUGGUACUCCACGACGAUGACUUGUACCAGCUCCAAAAAUAGAGUGGGAAAGAGGUUAAUUAUAGUUCCUGUAAUUUUAUUUUGGAUUCGAUGACACUGUUAAAGAGCUUGCUUACCUCUGCGUUGUGAAAGUGGUGUACAGUUGCUAAAUACGACCUCAGUAGCAGUAGCUGUGCACAUUAGAGGGGGUAACAGGAGAACAGAAAACUAUGUAGAUGACGCUCUAUGUAGACUGAGUGUUUUUGAAUUCAUAUUUCAAUAUUUCACAUUUUGCACCGACUGGAAAAAAAAAAAAAAAAAAAAAAAGGCACCUUUUUCUUCUCACCACAUCUGUUCAAUGGUCGGUUAAGGAAAUGUUGAU